Molecule: ribosomal RNA, 302 nt
Filed under: Pelobates cultripes (western spadefoot toad)
Lineage: Eukaryota; Metazoa; Chordata; Amphibia; Anura; Pelobatidae
Description: SSU_rRNA_microsporidia
Rfam family: Eukaryotic small subunit ribosomal RNA
Source: RNAcentral
AAUAUUGGGACAUAUAAUAAAGACAACUCUGUUCCGCAGAGUAGCUAUUGACAUUAUAGUUGCGCAGGCACUUUGUUGACUCUAGAGAACCUUGGGCCAAUCGCACAUCCCCAUGACGGCGACUUUGCAUUUGGAUGUCAUCCAUAUCAACUUUCGAUGCCAGUUUCUGCGCCUACCAUGGUGACCACGGUUAACGGGGAAUCAGGGUUCCAUGCCAUACAAGGACCCUGAGAAACGGCUACCACAUGCAAGGAAGGCAGCAGGCGCGCAAGUGACCCACUCCCAACACGGGAAGGUAGUGA